RNAcentral lists this transfer RNA (24 nucleotides) under Sceloporus scalaris (bunch grass lizard). RNAcentral's name for it is "partial tRNA-Leu". The record is from RNAcentral. Lineage: Eukaryota; Metazoa; Chordata; Lepidosauria; Squamata; Phrynosomatidae.
AUUAAGAGUAANCCUUUGGUCUUC